This 468-nucleotide ribosomal RNA is filed under the name uncultured bacterium. RNAcentral describes it as "partial 16S ribosomal RNA". It matches the Rfam family "Bacterial small subunit ribosomal RNA", at positions 38 to 507 of the family's 1533-position model. The record is from RNAcentral.
GGGGGGGGGGGGGGGGGGGCGGGGGGGGGGCGGGGCGGGGGGGGGGGCGGGGCGUGGGGGGGGUGCUCGGGGGGGGGGCGGGGGGGGGGCACGUGGGGAGCCUGCCCUUGACUUUGGGGGGGCUUCAGGGAACUGGGGCUACUACCGGAUCGGAGCUCCUGCUGCAUGGUGGGGGUUGGAAAGUUUCGGCGGGUGGGGAUGGACUCGCGGCUUACCAGCUUGUUGGUGGGGUAGUGGCUUACCAAGGCUGUGACGGGUAGCCGGCCUGAGAGGGGGACCGGGCACAUGGGGACUGAGAUACGGCGCAGAGGCCAACGGGAGGCAGCAGGGGGGAAUAUGGCACAAUGGGCGGAAGCCUGAGGCAGCGACGCCGCGUGCGGGAUGACGGCCUGCGGGGUGUAAACCGCUUUCGCCUGUGACGAAGCGUGAGUGACGGUAAUGGGUAAAGAAGCACCGGCUAACUACGUG